RNAcentral lists this ribosomal RNA (497 nucleotides) under uncultured bacterium. RNAcentral describes it as "partial 16S ribosomal RNA". It matches the Rfam family "Bacterial small subunit ribosomal RNA", at positions 28 to 508 of the family's 1533-position model. The record is from RNAcentral.
GAUGAACGCUGGCGGCGUGCCUAAUACAUGCAAGUCGAGCGAACGGACGAGAAGCUUGCUUCUCUGAUGUUAGCGGCGGACGGGUGAGUAACACGUGGAUAACCUACCUAUAAGACUGGGAUAACUUCGGGAAACCGGAGCUAAUACCGGAUAAUAUUUUGAACCGCAUGGUUCAAAAGUGAAAGACGGUCUUGCUGUCACUUAUAGAUGGAUCCGCGCUGCAUUAGCUAGUUGGUAAGGUAACGGCUUACCAAGGCAACGAUGCAUAGCCGACCUGAGAGGAGGAUAGGCACCACGGGAACGGAGACACGGUCCAGACUCCUAAGGGAGGCCGCAGUGGGGAAGAUUCAGAAAUGGGCGAAAGCCUGACGGAGCAAGCCCGCGGGAGGAAGGAAGGUCUUCGGAUCGAAAAACUCUGUUAUGGGGAAAGAAAAGAUGUAUAAGAAAAUCUCCCCGUCCUGACGGUACCAAAAAAAAAAGCAACGGCUAACUUCGGC